AACGAACGCUGGCGGCAGGCUUAACACAUGCAAGUCGAACGGUUGUAGCAAUACAGCAGUGGCAGACGGGUGAGUAACACGUGGGAACCUUCCUAGGGGUACGGAACAACUCAGGGACACUUGAGCUAAUACCGUAUACGUCCGUGAGGAGAAAGAUUUAUCGCCCUUAGACGGGCCCGCGUCGGAUUAGCUAGUUGGUGGUGUAACGGCCUACCAAGGCGACGAUCCGUAGCUGUUCUUAGAGAGUGAUCAGCCACACUGGGACUGAGACACGGCCCAGACUCCUACGGGAGGCAGCAGUGGGGAAUCUUGGACAAUGGGCGCAAGCCUGAUCCAGCCAUGCCGCGUGAGUGAAGAAGGUAUUCGGAUUGUAAAGCUCUUUUGCCAGGGACGAUAAUGACGGUACCUGGAGAAUAAGCCCCGGCAAACUUCGUGCCAGCAGCCGCAGUAA
This 451-nucleotide ribosomal RNA is filed under the name uncultured bacterium. RNAcentral's name for it is "partial 16S ribosomal RNA". It matches the Rfam family "Bacterial small subunit ribosomal RNA", at positions 29 to 523 of the family's 1533-position model. The record is from RNAcentral.